GAUGAACGCUGGCGGCGUGCUUAACACAUGCAAGUCGAACGGAAAGGCCCAAGCUUGCUUGGGUACUCGAGUGGCGAACGGGUGAGUAACACGUGGGUGAUCUGCCCUGCACUUCGGGAUAAGCCUGGGGAAAUGGGGCUAAUACCGGAUAGGACGAUGGGUUGGAUGGCAUUGUGGAAAGUUUUUUCGGUGUGGGGUGAGCUCGCGGCCUAUCAGCUUGUUGGUGGGGUAAUGGCCUACCAAGGCGUCGACGGGUAGCCGGCCUGAGAGGGUGUACGGCCACAUUGGGACUGAGAUACGGCCCAGACUCCUACGGGAGGCAGCAGUGGGGAAUAUUGCACAAUGGGCGCAAGCCUGAUGCAGCGACGCCGCGUGGGGGAUGACGGCCUUCGGGUUGUAAACUCCUUUCGCUAGGGACGAAGCGUUUUUGUGACGGUACCUGGAGAAGAAGCACCGGCUAACUACGUG
This 468-nucleotide ribosomal RNA is filed under the name uncultured bacterium. Its description in RNAcentral is "partial 16S ribosomal RNA". It matches the Rfam family "Bacterial small subunit ribosomal RNA", at positions 28 to 507 of the family's 1533-position model. The record is from RNAcentral.